Molecule: ribosomal RNA, 409 nt
Filed under: Fusobacteriota bacterium
Lineage: Bacteria; Fusobacteriati; Fusobacteriota
Description: Fusobacteria bacterium partial 16S ribosomal RNA
Rfam family: Bacterial small subunit ribosomal RNA
Source: RNAcentral
UGGGGAAUAUUGCACAAUGGAGGGAACUCUGAUGCAGCAACGCCGCGUGCGGGAUGACGGCCUUCGGGUUGUAACCCGCUUUCAGCCAUGACGAAGCUUUUGUGACGGUAGUGGUAGAAGAAGCACCGGCUAACUACGUGCCAGCAGCCGCGGUGAUACGUAGGGUGCGAGCGUUGUCCGGAAUUAUUGGGCGUAAAGAGCUUGUAGGCGGUUUGUCGCGUCGAUAGUGUAAACACGCAGCUUAACUGUGUGCCUGCUGUCGAUACGGGCUGACUAGAGGAGGGUAGGGGAGAAUGGAAUUCCCGGUGGAGCGGUGGAAUGCGCAGAUAUCGGGAGGAACACCAGUGGCGAAGGCGGUUCUCUGGACCUUUCCUGACGCUGAGAAGCGAAAGCGUGGGUAGCAAACAGG